GGCAACCCUGACGGAGCAACGCCGCGUGGGGGAGGAAUGUCUGUGGAUUGUAAACCCCUUUUCUCAGGGAAGAAGUUCUGACGGUACCUGAGGAAUCAGCAUCGGCUAACUCCGUGCCAGCAGCCGCGGUAAGACGGAGGAUGCAAGCGUUAUCCGGAAUUAUUGGGCGUAAAGCGUCCGUAGGCGGUUUAUCAAGUCUGCCGUUAAAGACUGCAGCUUAACUGUGGGCGAGCGGUGGAAACUGAUGAACUAGAGUACGGUAGGGGUAGAGGGAAUUCCCAGUGUAGCGGUGAAAUGCGUAGAUAUUGGGAAGAACACCAGUGGCGAAGGCGCUCUACUGGGCCGUAACUGACGCUGAGGGACGAAAGCUAGGGGAGCG
Molecule: ribosomal RNA, 379 nt
Filed under: uncultured cyanobacterium
Lineage: Bacteria; Bacillati; Cyanobacteriota
Description: bacterial SSU rRNA
Rfam family: Bacterial small subunit ribosomal RNA
Source: RNAcentral